This 730-nucleotide ribosomal RNA is filed under the name uncultured bacterium. RNAcentral describes it as "bacterial SSU rRNA". It matches the Rfam family "Bacterial small subunit ribosomal RNA", at positions 651 to 1381 of the family's 1533-position model. The record is from RNAcentral.
UCAGAGGGGGGUAGANUUCCACGUGUAGCAGUGAAAUGCGUAGAGAUGUGGAGGAAUACCGAUGGCGAAGGCAGCCCCCUGGGAUAAUACUGACGUUCAUGCUCGAAAGCGUGGGUAGCAAACAGGAUUAGAUACCCUGGUAGUCCACGCCCUAAACGAUGUCAAUUAGCUGUUGGGGCACUUGAUGCCUUAGUAGCGAAGCUAACGCGUGAAAUUGACCGCCUGGGGAGUACGGUCGCAAGAUUAAAACUCAAAGGAAUUGACGGGGACCCGCACAAGCGGUGGAUGAUGUGGAUUAAUUCGAUGCAACGCGAAGAACCUUACCUGGUCUUGACAUGUACGGAAUCUUCCAGAGACGGAAGAGUGCCUUCGGGAGCCGUAACACAGGUGCUGCAUGGCUGUCGUCAGCUCGUGUCGUGAGAUGUUGGNNNNNNNNNNNGCAACGAGCGCAACCCUUGUCAUUAGUUGCCACCAUUUAGUUGGGCACUCUAAUGAGACUGCCGGUGACAAACCGGAGGAAGGUGGGGAUGACGUCAAGUCCUCAUGGCCCUUAUGACCAGGGCUUCACACGUCAUACAAUGGUCGGUGCAGAGGGUAGCCAAGCCGCGAGGUGGAGCCAAUCUCAGAAAACCGAUCGUAGUCCGGAUUGCACUCUGCAACUCGAGUGCAUGAAGUCGGAAUCGCUAGUAAUCGCAGGUCAGCAUACUGCGGUGAAUACGUUCCCGGGUCU